RNAcentral lists this long non-coding RNA (495 nucleotides) under Mytilus galloprovincialis (Mediterranean mussel). Lineage: Eukaryota; Metazoa; Mollusca; Bivalvia; Mytilida; Mytilidae. The record is from RNAcentral.
UCUAAUUAUAAACUAAGCAAAGAAGAUCCGAGUAACCGGAAAUAAGCGUUGAUUGGUCGAAAUAUUUCAAGAUGUCUAACUUGCCAAAAUUGAAAGUAGAAAGUAUUGAAUGUUGAAAAAAGUGGAUUAUCCAGACCCAGAAAGGUCUUUGAUCAUAGUAAGGCACACGAAAAUGUAGAAAAACCGUUUAUCUAUUAGUUUAUUCAUGUACUGAUGUCUGAAAAAUGCAGAAAAAGCGACAAUAUGAGCGCAAACAAAUUGUCCGCGAUCUCCUGUUUUGAAUGGGCACUGCUUUCUGUCUCUAUAUUGCACAAUAAAAAAAAAAAAAAAAUAGAAAAUAGCAAAAUCAAUAAAAAGCAAAUGUAAAUUAGGAAAUAUAUGCAUUAUAGGGACAGAAGAAUUCGGUCUAUCAUAACAGGUACAUUUUGAAAGUCCAAAAUGUUUUAAAUGCCAGUCAAUAGAAGAAGAUCAACAUACAACUGCAACCGAUCGUCG